UCCCUCUUAGUUCAGGGGUAGAACGUCACACUCGUAUCUUGUAAAUGCAUGUGAAGGUCAGUCGUUCAAAUCGGCUAGCGGGAA
Mycena leptocephala is the source of this 84-nucleotide non-coding RNA. The record is from the annotation of a GenBank genome assembly. NCBI's taxonomy places the organism in Eukaryota, Fungi, Basidiomycota, Agaricomycetes, Agaricales, Mycenaceae.